Molecule: long non-coding RNA, 724 nt
Filed under: Capra hircus (goat)
Lineage: Eukaryota; Metazoa; Chordata; Mammalia; Artiodactyla; Bovidae
Description: lncRNA (ENSCHIG00000003947.1)
Source: RNAcentral
GGGAGCUGUAAGAAAAUCACUUCAACCUAUAGAGAAAGAAAGUCAUAGGAGUGGGGGUAAGGGGAAGGGUUAACCUAUAGAAAGAGCCAGAAGAAACUCCUAAGGCAAUUAACCACACACUCUCACCUCUAGGAGGAGCAUCAAGCUUCUUGUCUUCCAGGCAUUCCCAAGGAAAACUUGUAUGAGGAAUCUUCAUCAAGGAGUACUCUGCUUAGUAGGUUCUGUGAUGAAUCUAUUCUGUUUGGGACCCAUUGAUGAAUUUUCUCCGAGGAGGACAGUGAAGCCCAGACAAGAGAAGGAACCUCUUGAAAGCCAGUCAGAUGUGAGACACAUUCUCUGUCUUCCAAUCUAGAUGUUUGAGCUUCCCUUGUUUGGAUCUGUUGAAGACACAGAAACUUCACUGCCUUCUACUCUCCUAUUUCUUUCCUGAUUGGCCUUUGGGAUAGAGGCUGUCUUGAUUUUGCAAAGACUGAAGGUAUCUGCAUGACUUCCCAAGAGACUUCAAGGCAUGAGGCUGAGAACAUGAGUUUUAGGAUUUAGAGCUUAGAAUAUUUUUUCACAUGUCAUCCUGAAGCUAGAAUCAUGGGGAAGAUUCAUGAUAACAGGUCCUUGUGAACAACCUUGGUGUCUCCCCAUAUCAUUAAACUUGUGAAAUAUCACCAAAAGGCUGUAUCCUAAAUGGCUCCAAAGUGGGCUGUUGGGCCAUGAUUUUGGUGUCCAAGGC